RNAcentral lists this long non-coding RNA (1176 nucleotides) under Chrysemys picta bellii (western painted turtle). RNAcentral's name for it is "lncRNA (ENSCPBG00000008957.1)". Lineage: Eukaryota; Metazoa; Chordata; Testudines; Emydidae. The record is from RNAcentral.
ACUGUGUGUGUGCACGUGAGACAGCGUAUGCUGUGUUUGCGCAUGUCAGAGUGUGAGUCUGCACGUUAGGGGAUGGGUGUGCGUGGCAAUGCAUUUGUGAGCGUGAGCAGAUGAAGGCAUGCACGUGAACGGGAAAGAAUGUGUCUGAGGUGCGUCAGUGUGCAUGAGCAUGUUGGAGAGAGUGGGUGGGAGCAGCUGUGAGAUGUGUGAGUGAGUAUAGAUGUAGUAUUUUAAUGUGUGCAUCUGCAGAACCCAGAUGACCCUUACCGGUCUCUUUUUCACACAGGAAGAGCAGUGGCAGUGGCACUGUUAACUGUUCCCGCCCCACGCUAUUUGUGGAGAGUGUUCUAUCAAUCAAGGCUUCACUCUUGCUGGCAACAACAACAUCAGGCUUUGUCCAUUCCAGACCGAUAACAUGUCUCCCAGGCCCAGUGUAGUCUGCUGUAAAUCCCUGGAACGCGGCAACAAUGCUGCAGCCGGCCAGGCAUCAGAGGGGAUGCUGUAACACGCAGCGAGAGCUGGGCUGAAGGACGGCAUGCUGGAAGAGGGGGCUCCUGUAACUGUGUGGUAGGUGAGUUAUAGGGGAACUUAGCUUCCCUUCUAGCAUCAGAACUGCCUCUUUGCAUCAGGCCCUGAGGUCUCCACUUGCCCCAGUUCAGAAAAAUAUCUUCCCUUGCCAAUGCAUCUUACAUCCCCACUGCCACUAAUGUGGUUCUGGGGGAAUUAAUACGUUGGUGGUUGGUUAAGAAUAAGCAAGCGUCCUGAUUUGAGAAAUAUUGUUCAAGUUAAAAGUUGACCUGAAAAGAACCCAGCAUUAAAACUAGUCAGCUAAUGCUCCCUGGAUUCAAUCAAAAGGGGUUAGCCUAUUAGAUUCCAUUCUCUAUUGGCAAUAACUCUUAUCCAAUUGGCAAACCUCGCUCGUUAGAUUUCAGCUUUAAAAUCUAACUGGCUCCCUUCCGCGCUUACAGCCGGAACCUGCCCACUUUGCAGUGAGGAGGCAGGCGACAUUGCUUGAUGGCUGAUAGCAAUCUCACAAUUCCCCCUUGUGUGCCAAGAAGGACAGACAAGUUCUACCACAAUUCACUGGGAAAGAUUCACAGAGCAGCUUAGCUUACUGAAUGUGACCCUGGGUGACCCUCAGUGCCAACUGGCGAAUGGCACACCAUACCAUAACUC